GGAGAAGUACCCAAGAGGCCGAAGGGGAGGCUUUGCUAAAGCUUUAGGUGGGUUAACGCCCGCGCGAGGGUUCGACUCCCUCCUUCUCCGCCA
RNAcentral lists this transfer RNA (93 nucleotides) under Candidatus Scatonaster coprocaballi. RNAcentral's name for it is "tRNA-Ser". It matches the Rfam family "tRNA". From Rfam's summary of the family: Transfer RNA (tRNA) molecules are approximately 80 nucleotides in length. Their secondary structure includes four short double-helical elements and three loops (D, anti-codon, and T loops). The record is from RNAcentral. Lineage: Bacteria; Bacillati; Bacillota; Clostridia; Saccharofermentanales; Saccharofermentanaceae.